CCUACGGGAGGCUGCAGUGGGGAAUAUUGGACAAUGGGGGCAACCCUGAUCCAGCCAUGCCGCGUGUGUGAAGAAGGCCCUCGGGUUGUAAAGCACUUUCAGUGAGGAAGAACGCCUGGUGGUUAAUACCCAUCAGGAAAGACAUCACUCACAGAAGAAGCACCGGCUAACUCCGUGCCAGCAGCCGCGGUAAUACGGAGGGUGCGAGCGUUAAUCGGAAUUACUGGGCGUAAAGCGCGCGUAGGUGGCUUGAUAAGCCGGUUGUGAAAGCCCCGGGAUCAACCUGGGAACGGCAUCCGGAACUGUCAAGCUAGAGUGCAGGAGAGGAAGGUAGAAUUCCCGGUGUAGCGGUGAAAUGCGUAGAGAUCGGGAGGAAUACCAGUGGCGAAGGCGGCCUUCUGGACUGACACUGACACUGAGGUGCGAAAGCGUGGGUAGCAAACAGGAUUAGAUACCCCAGUAGUC
RNAcentral lists this ribosomal RNA (465 nucleotides) under Vreelandella stevensii. Its description in RNAcentral is "partial 16S ribosomal RNA". It matches the Rfam family "Bacterial small subunit ribosomal RNA", at positions 338 to 795 of the family's 1533-position model. Lineage: Bacteria; Pseudomonadati; Pseudomonadota; Gammaproteobacteria; Oceanospirillales; Halomonadaceae. The record is from RNAcentral.